GACGAACGCUGGCGGCGUGCUUAACACAUGCAAGUCGAACGGAAAGGCCCUGCUUUUGUGGGGUGCUCGAGUGGCGAACGGGUGAGUAACACGUGAGUAACCUGCCCUUGACUUUGGGAUAACUUCAGGAAACUGGGGUUAAUACCGGAUAGGAGCUCCUGCUGCAUGGUGGGGGUUGGAAAGUUUCGGCGGUUGGGGAUGGACUCGCGGCUUAUCAGCUUGUUGGUGGGGUAGUGGCUUACCAAGGCUUUGACGGGUAGCCGGCCUGAGAGGGUGACCGGCCACAUUGGGACUGAGAUACGGCCCAGACGCCUACGGGAGGCAGCAGUGGGGAAUAUUGCACAAUGGGCGGAAGCCGGAUGCAGCAACGCCGCGUGCGGGAUGACGGCCUUCGGGUGGUAAACCGCUUUCGCCUGUGACGAAGCGUGAGUGACGGUAAUGGGUAAAGAAGCACCGGCUAACUACGU
RNAcentral lists this ribosomal RNA (467 nucleotides) under uncultured bacterium. Its description in RNAcentral is "partial 16S ribosomal RNA". It matches the Rfam family "Bacterial small subunit ribosomal RNA", at positions 28 to 506 of the family's 1533-position model. The record is from RNAcentral.